GAGGGUACAGCUCAGUGGUAGAGUGUGUGCUUACAUGCACGAGGUCCUGGGUUCAAUCCCCAGCACUUCCA
Molecule: transfer RNA, 71 nt
Filed under: Camelus bactrianus (Bactrian camel)
Lineage: Eukaryota; Metazoa; Chordata; Mammalia; Artiodactyla; Camelidae
Also listed under: 3 other names
Rfam family: tRNA
About the family: Transfer RNA (tRNA) molecules are approximately 80 nucleotides in length. Their secondary structure includes four short double-helical elements and three loops (D, anti-codon, and T loops).
Source: Rfam by way of RNAcentral